RNAcentral lists this non-coding RNA (48 nucleotides) under Schistosoma mattheei. The record is from RNAcentral. Lineage: Eukaryota; Metazoa; Platyhelminthes; Trematoda; Strigeidida; Schistosomatidae.
AUCCAGUUGACUAGUUCGAAAUAGGACGAAACGCGCGUCCAACUGGAU